Long non-coding RNA from Heterocephalus glaber (naked mole-rat), 713 nucleotides. The record is from Ensembl. Lineage: Eukaryota; Metazoa; Chordata; Mammalia; Rodentia; Bathyergidae.
CGGCGCGAGUUUGAGCGCGGCGCGCGGCGGCUGGCUCUCGGCUUCUCUCGACCCGCGCUCGCCCGCCUCUGCCGGCUCCCGCCAACCUGCAGAGGGCUGAGCCCGCCGGGACCAGGAUCCGCCCCUCGAAGGGAGGCUGCGCGUGGGAAAGGGAAGGCACACUCAGUUGUUUGUAAAUUGGGGGGUGGAGUGGGUACCUGAAGGAGAAGAACACAUUGGAGGUGAAUUGUAGGCCCCGGACCUCCGAUCCUUUUUCGCGGCCUGGGAUUGGGGCCCGGGAGUAGGGGAGGAGGAUAUCCGGGGAAGAGAACAGCAUGCGGGGCGUGCUGUCCUGGCACCUCGUGAUCUCAGAGUUCUCGAAAAGGGAUCGAACUCGGGACCUUGCGCUUGUGAGGCAGGCACUUGAACCACUAAGCUAAAUCCCCGACCCCAUGACUGUAUUUCUUUGGAGAAAGAUGAUUGGCUGCAGAGGAGAAUUGAGUACAAGAAUGGAGAGAGAUAAGAGAUGAGAGAAUAAUUAGCAGUCUCUUCCCAACAGGAUCUACAUUCUACGACAGUAGACUUCCGUCUGUUUUGCUCACUGUAUCCUGUGUAUAGCACAGUGCCUGGCUCAGAGUAGAUUCGACAAAUAUUUGUUGAAGGAAUGAAUGAAUAUAUGAGUGAAAAGCCACUCAGCUGAUAAAUGGUGGAGGUAAGAUUCAAGUGUCCUGUUU